This 909-nucleotide ribosomal RNA is filed under the name Listeria monocytogenes. RNAcentral's name for it is "partial 23S ribosomal RNA". It matches the Rfam family "Bacterial large subunit ribosomal RNA", at positions 1 to 903 of the family's 2925-position model. Lineage: Bacteria; Bacillati; Bacillota; Bacilli; Caryophanales; Listeriaceae. The record is from RNAcentral.
UUGGUUAAGUUAGAAAGGGCGCACGGUGGAUGCCUUGGCACUAGGAGCCGAAGAAGGACGGGACUAACACCGAUAUGCUUUGGGGAGCUGUACGUAAGCGUUGAUCCAGAGAUUUCCGAAUGGGGGAACCCACUAUCUUUAGUCGGAUAGUAUCCUUACGUGAAUACAUAGCGUGAGGAAGGCAGACCCAGGGAACUGAAACAUCUAAGUACCUGGAGGAAGAGAAAGAAAAAUCGAUUUCCUGAGUAGCGGCGAGCGAAACGGAAAGAGCCCAAACCAAGAAGCUUGCUUCUUGGGGUUGUAGGACACUCUAUACGGAGUUACAAAAGAAAGUUAUAAAUGAAGCGGUCUGGAAAGGCCCGCCAAAGACGGUAACAGCCCGGUAGUUGAAAUGGCUUUCCCUCCAGAGUGGAUCCUGAGUACGGCGGAACACGUGAAAUUCCGUCGGAAUCCGGGAGGACCAUCUCCCAAGGCUAAAUACUCCCUAGUGACCGAUAGUGAACCAGUACCGUGAGGGAAAGGUGAAAAGCACCCCGGAAGGGGAGUGAAACAGUUCCUGAAACCGUGUGCCUACAAGUAGUUAGAGCCCGUUAAUGGGUGAUAGCGUGCCUUUUGUAGAAUGAACCGGCGAGUUACGAUUUGUUGCAAGGUUAAGCGGAAAAAGCGGAGCCGUAGCGAAAGCGAGUCUGAAUAGGGCGCAUAAGUAACAGGUCGUAGACCCGAAACCAGGUGAUCUACCCAUGUCCAGGAUGAAGGUAAGGUAAUACUUACUGGAGGUCCGAACCCACGCACGUUGAAAAGUGCGGGGAUGAGGUGUGGGUAGCGGAGAAAUUCCAAUCGAACUUGGAGAUAGCUGGUUCUCUCCGAAAUAGCUUUAGGGCUAGCCUCGAGGUAAAGAGUCAUGGAGGU